This 19-nucleotide non-coding RNA is filed under the name Trichophyton rubrum. RNAcentral also lists the same sequence under 5 other names. Lineage: Eukaryota; Fungi; Ascomycota; Eurotiomycetes; Onygenales; Arthrodermataceae. The record is from RNAcentral.
GGUGAACCUGCGGAAGGAU